This 23-nucleotide small nuclear RNA is filed under the name Arabidopsis thaliana (thale cress). Its description in RNAcentral is "snRNA_07709". The record is from RNAcentral. Lineage: Eukaryota; Viridiplantae; Streptophyta; Magnoliopsida; Brassicales; Brassicaceae.
UAGCUCUCUGUAGCGGAGAAUCU